AAUAAAUAUUGAUGCAAACGAAAGAAAUGUCUUUGGGUGUUUUUGCUGAAGCAAUGAAGAAACAGUGUGGAAUUUCAUUUAUACACCAAAAGCAUGAUUUGUUAAAUGUGUUUAAUUGGAAACCAUCACUGAAAGAGGUGAUACUUUUGUUAUUACUGACAUCGGGUACACUUCACUUUAUUUCCCUGUCAAUUCCUGUACCGACUUAAGUCUGGCAGAAGUUCCAAUAGAGGUGUACCAGAAUUGUUCAGGGAAGGAUCGCGUCUUACACUGUCUGCCUAACGACCAUGAUGACCUCGGACUCUGUUGUUUCUCAAUUACAUGGAUAGAAAAAGGCAUUUUUACUUU
This is a long non-coding RNA of Saccostrea cuccullata (small rock oyster), 348 nucleotides long. RefSeq lists it as uncharacterized. The transcript has 3 exons. The record is from RefSeq and is a predicted model, not a curated record. Lineage: Eukaryota; Metazoa; Mollusca; Bivalvia; Ostreida; Ostreidae.